GGGAUGUUCUCUGAGGGUCCGCUGUUGGGGUUUUGUAAAGUUCAUCUCUGACGAUUAUACUGAAGAGAUGUACAUAACGCAGAAGAUGCAGUGAGUUUAUUGAUGGUUUCUGUGCUUGGCCAAGUUACAGUGCCGUCAUCCAGCCUUCAAGCAUGGUUCAGAAGCCAUGAACCACAAAUCAGCAUGUUUCCUUCCAGUUUCCAAUGAGCACUCUGACAGCAUCACUUAGCAUGCCAGUAUUCAACAUUGUGCAGAUCAUCUCUGUAAAGAUGGCUGUGUUGCUUCAGUUGCCACAUCUCUACGUAUGUUCUUCCUGUUAGCAAAGGCACACUGUGACAGCAUAUACUUUCUACAUGCUAAUACAUGCACAGUAUUGUUCAGGGAAAGACAUAUGCAAACCUAUCAGCUUCCAAAGUCGGCAACAUCCUGCUGUCACUACAGUCUCAGCACCUACCAGCUCCCACUCUGUCAGCAACAUCCUGCUGUCACAUGUCCAGCUACUGGUACUUGAAGUUACUGUGUGCUUGUACAUUCUCAGCACCUACUAGCUCUCACUCUGUCAGCAACAUCCUGCUGUCACAUGUCCAGCUAUUGGUACUCGGAGUUACUAUUUGCUUGUACUUUCUCAGCACCUACCAGCUCCCACUCUGUCAGCAACAUCCUGUCCAGCUACCGGCACUUGGAGUUAUUGUGUGCUUGUACAUUCUCAGCACCUACUAGUUCCCACUCUGUCAGCAACAUCCUGCUGUCACACCUCCAGAUAUGUGGAGUUAUUGUGCUUUUACAGUCUCAGCCAGUAUUGGAUUGCAAGUUGUCUUAUGCUGCUACAACCUACACAUUUAGCAUUCUCUUGAACCUUGAGGAACCACCAUAUGAACAAAGAGACUCUGAAACACUCAUAAUAAACCUGUCACGGUGGUUUGUUGAACAUUCGUAUUAUUUGGAGGACUUGCAAUUAGCUCAUAUAGUCAACUAGCUAUUCCAGUCCUCUGGAAGAGUUAGUUGGCUGCUUGAGGUUAUUCUAUACUAGUAGCAUGCCUUUUUUGUGCACGGUCAAGAGUAGAUCGAGAAAGCAGUUGUUUUUAAGGGCAAAACAAUUGUUCUUGUUCCUUGAAAAAGUUGGUCAAAACAUUUUCCCAACCAAUUUUUUUAUUUAAACAGUAAGAUAAAGGGCAACAAGGACUGUUUAAUGCCAUUUCUACUUGGUAGAAAAACAAUUCAAUGCUAAUUUUUAUCCAAGAUAUUCAAAGCUUUGGUGUUAUUGGCAAAGAGAGUACCCACAAGAGUGGUUGUGACAUGUACAUGCAAUACUGUUUGCAAUGAUUAUGCUAUUAUUAUGAUAAAAAUCGUGCAAAGUACGGCGUUAAAAUGGGCUUUCUCCUUGUACAUAGCACAAUACAUAAGUGAUUGUGAUCAUAAAUGUAUUGAAUUACAUAAAAUAUGAUUGUGGAUAAAUAUUUGGUAAUUUUGGGGAGGGGUGAGUGUAGGGGGGGGGGGAGGGAGGGAGCAUAUUAAUGCCCGUGCAUACUUUGUCUGAUUGCUAUGAAAAUGUGAUAUUAUCAAGCAUUGGCUGAUUCAUGUUCGCACCAAGUAUGCCAGUGUCAUGGUCUCACUUAUCAGGUGUGCGCACUUCUCCAAAAGGGACAUUUAACUUCAAUACGCACGUGCAAAAUUGUGCUGCGGCUGUACAUUAUCGCCAACCUUAUUGCGUGUGCUCACUGCACUGUGUUUGUGAAGAAGUGAGCACAUUAUAAGUAAGACUGUGACACUGGCUAAGCUAUGAAUUGCUACCGAGAUAAUUGCCUACUUUUGCGUCAUUUCGUCUAUGUUAAUUUAAGUAUUUGUUUACAAUAUCAUUUAUAGAUUAAACUCAUUAAAGAGACACUGCAGCCUGGCAAAUGCGCAAUUGGGCUACAAAAUGCAUUUUGAGUCGAAUGGUGUUAAGUGCUUGGGAUAUAAACAACUACACAAACAUCCAUUGAAAAUCACCUGGGGGGGGGGCACUUUUGCAACCCUCAAAAUAUGUGUGUUCAGUGCUGGUUGAGAUUCCAGCUGUAAACGUUUCACCCUCUGCGCACAUCAACCGGAUGUUUCAAGCAAGAUAUCGUAAACAAUGCAAAACAUGACAUUUUCAAGGAUUUCAGGGAACAAUAAUUUAUGGAAUUUUGAGGAAACAUUUUUGCUAUUUUGUUUGGUAGAAUACUAUUGUUUUAUAUUAAAGAAAAUGCUUUCAUACAAAUAAAAAAAUUAUACAAA
RNAcentral lists this long non-coding RNA (2256 nucleotides) under Patiria miniata (bat star). RNAcentral's name for it is "uncharacterized LOC119729945, transcript variant X1". Lineage: Eukaryota; Metazoa; Echinodermata; Asteroidea; Valvatida; Asterinidae. The record is from RNAcentral.